CUUUGUGACUCAUCCUUUGUGAUUCAUCACUUUGUGACUCAUCACUUUGUGACUCAUCACUUUGUGACACAACACCUAUUGACACAUUCCCUUGUAACACAUCCCGUGUAAUAUUACGUUGUGACACAUCGCCUUUUGACCAUAACCUUGUGAUACAUCACUUUGAGACACACCACCUUUUGAUAAAUCAUCUUGUAACACAGUAAUUGCCUGAAUUUACAUGAGGGCCACUAACACUACUGGCCUCGACGAAGACAGGAAGCCGGCGGCAUGUCAAAUGUCCCUUCAACUUUCAGUGAAUGAUGGAUUCUGACUUCAAAGUCCUUUUCUUCAUCAAUUUGCUGCAAGCUGAUCAACCCGUGCUAGGGGUCGACGCGUGGAGCCGACACCCCAUAGUGAAGAAACGCUGGUCAGGUUAAUGAGCCAUUAUAUUCCUGACAACGCCUGGUGGCAUUAAGCAAUAAAACCAGUCAGCCAACUUCCCAUUUUAAUGACAGGCCGACCCACGGCUAGUUGCUUUAGUACGAAGCUUGGAAGGAUGACAAGCACAAAGUCACUGCAAAUGGCUACUACACAGAACCACAGUGAUUUGCUGCAGGUCACGCAGAGGCAAUAGUUCCUUGCUUGUCACAAGUCUCCACAACAAGACCUCUAUCAACGGUUCACAUACAGUAUGAUCAAAUAAUUUAAACUAAAACAACAAGAUCCUACACCUGGCAGCUAAUUUCAGCACUGUUUUUGUGGUAAACAAAGUCAGUUUUGAUGAUAUUGAGAAUCAUUCUGAAUGGUUAAACAUAAGACAACCAAUCAUUUCAACAACUUUUAAUUCAUCUUCCCACAAACUAAAUAUCUGUUUACACUAACAAAAACUAAGCUUGAGCAUGACUUGGUAGAAGCCGAACAGGCACUACAGAGUUAGAAGUCUCAAUUUAUGUAUGGUGAAUGCUCUUGGGGUUAAAUUAACAAUGAAGAAAAUUGCCAGUAUUUUAUUAUACUUGAGUCAUGCUUUCAUUCUAAUUCAUGCACGCUGU
Molecule: long non-coding RNA, 1031 nt
Organism: Procambarus clarkii (red swamp crayfish)
Lineage: Eukaryota; Metazoa; Arthropoda; Malacostraca; Decapoda; Cambaridae
Source: RefSeq, a predicted model, not a curated record